CGAAGCCUGAUGCAGCCAUGCCGCGUGUGUGAAGAAGGCCUUCGGGUUGUAAAGCACUUUCAGUCGUGAGGAAGAGGUAAAGGUUAAUACUCUUUAUCUUUGACGUUAGCGACAGAAGAAGGACCGGCUAACUCCGUGCCAGCAGCCGCGGUAAUACGGAGGGUCCGAGCGUUAAUCGGAAUUACUGGGCGUAAAGCGUACGCAGGCGGCUUGUUAAGCCAGAUGUGAAAUCCCCGGGCUCAACCUGGGAAUGGCAUUUGGAACUGGCAAGCUAGAGUUUUGUAGAGGGUGGUAGAAUUUCAGGUGUAGCGGUGAAAUGCGUAGAGAUCUGAAGGAAUACCAGUGGCGAAGGCGGCCACCUGGACAAAAACUGACGCUCAUGUACGAAAGCGUGGGGAGCAAACAGGAUUAGAUACCCUGGUAGUCCACGCCGUAAACGAUGUCUACUAGUUGUCUGUGAGUUUAACUCGUGGGUAACGCAGCUAACGCAUUAAGUAGACCGCCUGGGGAGUACGGCCGCAAGGUUAAAACUCAAA
Molecule: ribosomal RNA, 536 nt
Filed under: Agarivorans sp.
Lineage: Bacteria; Pseudomonadati; Pseudomonadota; Gammaproteobacteria; Alteromonadales; Alteromonadaceae
Description: bacterial SSU rRNA
Rfam family: Bacterial small subunit ribosomal RNA
Source: RNAcentral